RNAcentral lists this long non-coding RNA (239 nucleotides) under Anser brachyrhynchus (Pink-footed goose). RNAcentral's name for it is "lncRNA (ENSABRG00000011334.1)". Lineage: Eukaryota; Metazoa; Chordata; Aves; Anseriformes; Anatidae. The record is from RNAcentral.
AAAAUAGGCUUUAUGAUUUUUUUUUUUUGAUCAAUCACUUUCUAAAUUUUCCAUCCAAAUUAACUUUGUGGUAAUUCUCACAGCACAGACAGUAUGCAACAGAUUUACCACAUCUUGUGUCAAGUUACUCCAGAGAUCCUUUAAAUCUGAAGUUAAAAUCACAUCUUUUCAACAUAGGUAAGUCCUUGCUGACAUGUGCAUUCGUAAAUUAGGAAUCAGUACAUGAACACUGUGGAGUA